Molecule: small nuclear RNA, 282 nt
Filed under: Salvator merianae (Argentine black and white tegu)
Lineage: Eukaryota; Metazoa; Chordata; Lepidosauria; Squamata; Teiidae
Description: 7SK RNA (ENSSMRG00000003648.1)
Rfam family: 7SK RNA
About the family: 7SK was discovered as an abundant small nuclear RNA in the mid-70s but a possible function has only recently been suggested. Two independent studies have found that 7SK RNA binds the CDK9/cyclin T complex (known as elongation factor P-TEFb).
Source: RNAcentral
AGAUGCAGGGGUGACCUGGCUGUGACAUCUGCCACCCCAUGGAUUGCCAGAGUGAUUCAGCUUACCUGGAUGGCUAAGUGGGGGUCCCCUUUCUCCUUCAGGACUCCAUGUCUGUCCCUCCCAAAGCUGCAUGCUCAGUGGAAGGGGACAACCAUCCCAGAUAGAAGGAAGGCGUAUGAUAGCUGCCCUCCUCUGCUCUAACCUCCAAACCAGUACAAGGCUAGAUCGGAAUGGUGAAAAAUAUUUCACUUCGUUUGACUGCAAUAAAAAGUAUUAUUCCUU